Molecule: long non-coding RNA, 410 nt
Organism: Pistacia vera
Lineage: Eukaryota; Viridiplantae; Streptophyta; Magnoliopsida; Sapindales; Anacardiaceae
Exons: 3
Source: RefSeq, a predicted model, not a curated record
UAGCUGAUCGUCAUCUUCCUUGAUUAAGUUCUCUAAAAUUGUCAACUUCAACACUGUUUUUCUUCAAAACACAGAUAAGAACGUGAAAGUGAGCAGUGUUUCAUUAGGUGCAUCUGAGCAAGAUAUACAGGAGUUUUUCCUUUUCUGGGGAAAUUGAACAUGUUGAGAUGCACAGUGGCAAUGAGUGGUCUCAAAUUGCAUAUGUUGUCUUCAAGGAUCCCAAGGGGGUAGAGACAGCAGUUCUUCUUUUGGUGGAUUUUGACUUCUUCUUCAGUAACAUCCCCUGCACUAUUACGGAAUUUUUAACUUAUAAUUGGUCUUACAUCCAAUUUUCAAGAGAAUUUUGAUGAUUAUUACGUCAUUUUCAUAAUGUGACUUUGUGUGUUCUUUUAAGCAAUUUUUUUUUUUUC